This 780-nucleotide long non-coding RNA is filed under the name Brassica napus (rape). Its description in RNAcentral is "long non-coding RNA (BNAP_LNC017672)". The record is from RNAcentral. Lineage: Eukaryota; Viridiplantae; Streptophyta; Magnoliopsida; Brassicales; Brassicaceae.
CGCAAACGCAUCUAACCGCAGUACCAGUCGUACAUAUCUUUUAAAAUCGCAACUACCCGGAUCCGCAAACUCCCGCAACCGCAACCGCUGCGGUUGAGAUUGAUCCUGGCAUUGUCCGUUUCACGUUAAAGCUCACUCGAGAAAAUAUCCAAACGCUUCGUGAGCUGCUCAAGAGAGAAUCAUCAAGAGAGAAUCAUAAGAGCCUACGCUUGUCGAAGUUCAUAUCACGUUCACGUGCUUGGUAAGAGCUCGAGGCUGUGAUCCCAAUAGAUGCGUGGGGUACAAAUUCGCCGUGGAUUGCAGAAGCCUCAUCGUGGCUCCGUUUAAAUAUUUCAGGAACUGUAUCUCCGCCGUCCCUAGGAUUCCGUUGACGGCGGCGACGUAUAUGGGUGAAAAAGGGGUUUAUGACUAACUAGAGAAUUAAUCACUUCCUUUAUGGCUUCAUGCUGUUAUCAAAACAUUGUGUUUGAAUGGUUAGCUUUGAUCGUUGUGUUUGAAUGGUUAAUAGUGAUCAUUGUAUUUGGCCUUUUCUUGAUGAAGCUAAACCUAGUAUUUUGUUUAGAUAGAUCGUCAUCAUCGGGUUAUUUGCAUGUUAUCUUUUUUUUUUUUAAUAUUUGAUAAACAAAAUAGCAAAGAGGAAAUUUGAAUUUCUUAAAGUUAACUGCUUACCAAAAACCUUGAAAAAGGAUUCUCAACUAUGAGAUGAAAGUGAACAAGGAGAUGAAGAAACGGUUGAGAAGUCGUCCUCAACAUCUUCACACCUCUCCCCUCUUGCUCUCU